GAUGAACGCUAGCGGCAGGGCCUAACACAUGCAAGUCGAGGGGCAGCAUAAAAAUGCUUGCUAUUUUGGUGGCGACCGGCGCACGGGGUGCGUAACGCGUAUGCAAUCUACCCUAUACUGAGGGAUAGCCCGGAGAAAUUCGGAUUAAUACCUCAUAGUAUUUAUGAAUCGCAUGGUUUAUAAAUUAAAGGUUACGGUAUAGGAUGAGCAUGCGUCCCAUUAGCUAGAUGGUAAGGUAAUGGCUCACCAAGGCGACGACGGGUAGCCGGCCUGAGAGGGCGACCGGCCACACUGGGACUGAGACACGGCCCAGACUCCUACGGGAGGCAGCAGUGGGGAAUAUUGGGCAAUGGAGGAAACUCUGACCCAGCGACGCCGCGUGCGGGAUGAAGGCCUUCGGGUUGUAAACCGCUUUCAGCAGGGAAGAAGCGAAAGUGACGGUACCUGCAGAAGAAGCACCGGCUAACUAUGUG
This 473-nucleotide ribosomal RNA is filed under the name uncultured bacterium. RNAcentral describes it as "bacterial SSU rRNA". It matches the Rfam family "Bacterial small subunit ribosomal RNA", at positions 28 to 507 of the family's 1533-position model. The record is from RNAcentral.